AACACAAAAAUAGACAUAGACUGAAUGAUGCAGUGAAAU
RNAcentral lists this non-coding RNA (39 nucleotides) under Trypanosoma brucei brucei. The record is from RNAcentral. Lineage: Eukaryota; Euglenozoa; Kinetoplastea; Trypanosomatida; Trypanosomatidae.